RNAcentral lists this ribosomal RNA (510 nucleotides) under uncultured bacterium. RNAcentral describes it as "bacterial SSU rRNA". It matches the Rfam family "Bacterial small subunit ribosomal RNA", at positions 36 to 538 of the family's 1533-position model. The record is from RNAcentral.
AAUCAACGCUGGCGGCGUGCCUCAGACAUGCAAGUCGAACGAUUAAAGCUCUCUUCGGAGAGUGUAUAGAGUGGCGCACGGGUGAGUAACACGUAAGUAAUCUACCUUCGAGUGGGGAAUAACAUCGGGAAACCGAUGCUAAUACCGCAUAAUGCAGCGGCAUCGCAAGAUGACAGUUGUUAAAGGAAUUUAUUUCGCUUGAAGAGGGGCUUGCGGCAGAUUAGCUAGUUGGUAAGGUAGUGGCUUACCAAGGCUACGAUCUGUAACCGGUCUAAGAGGACGGUCGGUCACACUGACACUGAAUAACGGGUCAGACUCCUACGGGAGGCAGCAGUCGGGAAUUUUUGGGCAAUGGGCGAAAGCCUGACCCAGCAACGCCGCGUGAAGGAUGAAGUAUUCGGUAUGUAAACUUCGAAAGAAUAGGAAGAAUAAAUGACGGUACUAUUUAUAAGAUCCGGCUAACUACGUGCCAGCAGCCGCCGUAAAAACCCGAGACUGCCAAAGGCACAC